RNAcentral lists this ribosomal RNA (466 nucleotides) under uncultured bacterium. RNAcentral's name for it is "partial 16S ribosomal RNA". It matches the Rfam family "Bacterial small subunit ribosomal RNA", at positions 28 to 507 of the family's 1533-position model. The record is from RNAcentral.
GAUGAACGCUGGCGGCGUGCUUAACACAUGCAAGUCGAACGAUGAAGCCCAGCUUGCUGGGUGGAUUAGUGGCGAACGGGUGAGUAACACGUGAGUAACCUGCCCUUAACUCUGGGAUAAGCCUGGGAAACUGGGUCUAAUACCGGAUAGGAGCGCCUACCGCAUGGUGGGUGUUGGAAAGAUUUAUCGGUUUUGGAUGGACUCGCGGCCUAUCAGCUUGUUGGUGAGGUAAUGGCUCACCAAGGCGACGACGGGUAGCCGGCCUGAGAGGGUGACCGGCCACACUGGGACUGAGACACGGCCCAGACUCCUACGGGAGGCAGCAGUGGGGAAUAUUGCACAAUGGGCGAAAGCCUGAUGCAGCGACGCCGCGUGAGGGAUGACGGCCUUCGGGUUGCAAACCUCUUUCAGUAGGGAAGAAGCGAAAGUGACGGUACCUGCAGAAGAAGCACCGGCUAACUACGUG